AGAAUAAGCACCGGCUAACUACGUGCCAGCAGCCGCGGUAAUACGUAGGGUGCAAGCGUUAAUCGGAAUUACUGGGCGUAAAGCGUGCGCAGGCGGUUUUGUAAGUCUGAUGUGAAAUCCCCGGGCUCAACCUGGGAAUUGCAUUGGAGACUGCAAGGCUAGAAUCUGGCAGAGGGGGGUAGAAUUCCACGUGUAGCAGUGAAAUGCGUAGAUAUGUGGAGGAAAACCGAUGGCGAAGGCAGCCCCCUGGGUCAAGUUUGACGCUCAUGCACGAAAGCGUGGGGAGCAAACAGGAUUAGAUCCCCUGGUAGUCCACGCCCUAAAC
Molecule: ribosomal RNA, 325 nt
Filed under: uncultured Janthinobacterium sp.
Lineage: Bacteria; Pseudomonadati; Pseudomonadota; Betaproteobacteria; Burkholderiales; Oxalobacteraceae
Description: bacterial SSU rRNA
Rfam family: Bacterial small subunit ribosomal RNA
Source: RNAcentral